This 71-nucleotide transfer RNA is filed under the name Ictidomys tridecemlineatus (thirteen-lined ground squirrel). RNAcentral describes it as "Spermophilus tridecemlineatus (thirteen-lined ground squirrel) tRNA". It matches the Rfam family "tRNA". From Rfam's summary of the family: Transfer RNA (tRNA) molecules are approximately 80 nucleotides in length. Their secondary structure includes four short double-helical elements and three loops (D, anti-codon, and T loops). Lineage: Eukaryota; Metazoa; Chordata; Mammalia; Rodentia; Sciuridae. The record is from Rfam by way of RNAcentral.
GUGAUUGUGGCUUAGUGGUAGAGUACUUGCCUUGCAUGCAAGGGACACUGGGUUCUUUCCUCAGCACCACA